UUGAAAAGAAAAAACCAGGAGAUAAUUAUUGAGUAUAUAAAAGUGAAAAUUACUGGAAGUUCAAAAAUACAAGGAAGAGGAAAAUGUAAAUAAAUAAAAACGUUGCGAUGUGUUUGACAGCUAAAGAAUUAAAAUCCUUAAUAUAUUUAAAAGUUCAACAAAUCUAUUAAGAAAAUUAGUACAUAUAUCAAGAUAAAAUAUAUACAUUAAGUAAUAAAUAUAAGCAAAAGGAAGUUCCAUUUUUCAAUUAUGAAAAUUGCAAAAAAUAAUGAAAUUUAUAAUACUGAAGAGCAUUCAAGGAAACUGAUGCUAUUGAUGGAAAUGUGUAUCUAGUUUUUUGGCAGGCAAUGUGAAAAUAUGUACCAAAGUAUUAAAAACAUCCAUGAAAUGGACCUUAAAAACAUAUGUCUGAUGGUUCAACAUCUAAAAACUUUUAAUACAUAUCAGAAAUAAUUCAACUCAGCAUUAUAUUUUUAAGUAUUAAACUGAUGA
RNAcentral lists this long non-coding RNA (492 nucleotides) under Bos taurus (domestic cattle). RNAcentral's name for it is "long non-coding RNA NONBTAT014074". The record is from RNAcentral. Lineage: Eukaryota; Metazoa; Chordata; Mammalia; Artiodactyla; Bovidae.